This 104-nucleotide non-coding RNA is filed under the name Pseudaestuariivita atlantica. Its description in RNAcentral is "Aestuariivita atlantica TPP sequence". It matches the Rfam family "TPP riboswitch aptamer (THI element)". From Rfam's summary of the family: Vitamin B(1) in its active form thiamin pyrophosphate (TPP) is an essential coenzyme that is synthesised by coupling of pyrimidine and thiazole moieties in bacteria. The previously detected thiamin-regulatory element, thi box was extended, resulting in a new, highly conserved RNA secondary structure, the THI element, which is widely distributed in eubacteria and also occurs in some archaea. Analysis of operon structures identified a large number of new candidate thiamin-regulated genes, mostly transporters, in various prokaryotic organisms. Lineage: Bacteria; Pseudomonadati; Pseudomonadota; Alphaproteobacteria; Rhodobacterales; Paracoccaceae. The record is from Rfam by way of RNAcentral.
GAAUAUCCGUCGGGGUGCCUAAAAAUUAGGCUGAGAAGUGCUCGUGCUGACCCGUCGAACCUGAUCCGGGCAAUACCGGCGUAGGGAACGGAUGACCGGCCAGA